GGAAAACAGACGCAACAGCAAGGAUAUUUCUCUCUCUUCUCUUUUCCCCCCUUUGCCCAUGUUUGUCUUUUUCUGCGUUUGUGGGUUACCUCUGGCGCACACCGACGCCCCUCCAGACCCGCCUCUUUCUGUUUGCGCGCGUGGUCUCUGUUCGCUUUUUUCCUUUCUUGUCUUUUUUUUGACCACGCACGCGGCGCGCUUCCGCGACAGGACCACAGGGGCAAAGCACCUCGGCGCGCAUUGGGCGAGGCGUGUCUAGGCUUGGGUCCGCUUGCGGCAAAACAGGGUGCCCGUCUUUGGGGCGUGGUCCGACGGCGCAGCGGUGAGGCGCUCUACUGCGAGCGGCAACACAAACGCCGCUGCUGCGGUGAGCAUGCCCCAAGCCAACAAGCGGACAGGGUCGAUUUGGGCGCGCGGCCGCGCCCAUCUGCAUGCGGGGUCGCCCGACACACCCGGACCACCGCGCUUUUUGAGCACAAACGGCGGCGCAACGACCACGAGCACCAACACGACCACGACCGCAGCGCCGAUGGCCAAAACGGCUGGGCUGCGCAGCGCGGAGGUCGCGCGCGCCGACGCCAUCGAGGGUGCCGCCGCCGCGCGGACAGGGCCGUUCGAGGCUUCGGCCGACGCCGCGGUUGUUUCUUGCGCAGUGCGCUGCAAUUUGGGGGCGAGCAUCGUCGGCGCCGUUUCGGCUUGUGCGACAGGGGCGGUUUGAGGCGACGUUUCCAACGGCGGCGGGGGCGGCGGCGGCAGUGGGCAGAAAGGUUCAAUCGGUGACGGCAGAGCGUCGAGUGCGGCCAUAGGUGCGGCUGGCGCCGCGUGGCGCCGCAGAGGGGGUGAAGGCGGACGGAGCGCGUCAAGGCACUGGUGAAUGGCGGCCAUCUUGGCGCCGCCUGCCAUAGACGGCCCGCCCCAGGCACUCGCACCGUAGGCGCUGUUCAUGCCGCCUUGCGGCGACGAUCAGCGGAGAUGGCGAGGGCCGCAGCACACCGAGUGUGUCGACGUCGCCGAGAGCACAGAGGGAAGGAGGCGAACGCCGAGAUGUACAAGCCAACCGCAAGACGCACACAAAUGGAUGCGUG
Molecule: long non-coding RNA, 1085 nt
Filed under: Pandoravirus neocaledonia
Description: hypothetical ncRNA
Source: RNAcentral